AGACGGCCGGACAGCCGCGCCUUGGCUUGACCAUGGUGAGGAAAGUCCGGGCAUCAGGGGAACAGGACACCGGAUAACAUCCGGCCGCGGGUAACCCGAGGGAAAGUGCCACAGAGAUAUACCGCCGAACGUUCGCGUUUGGUAAGGGUGAAAAGGCGAGGUAAGAGCUCACCGCGGAUAUGGCAACAUAGCCGGCAAGGUAAACCCUGUCUGAUGCAAGACCAAGUGAGGGGCGUCAAGGUGCCGAUUUUCGACAAACCGGACGAAACGGAGUGUUCUCCCUCCGCUCCAGAGGUAGGUCGCGUUGAGCCGGUUAGCAAUAAUCGGCCUAGAUGAAUGGCUGUCAGUUUGAGCUUGCUCAAAAUUACAGAACCCGGCUUAUAGGCCGUCUUA
This 393-nucleotide RNase P RNA is filed under the name human gut metagenome. RNAcentral's name for it is "Bacterial RNase P class A". It matches the Rfam family "Bacterial RNase P class A". From Rfam's summary of the family: Ribonuclease P (RNase P) is a ubiquitous endoribonuclease, found in archaea, bacteria and eukarya as well as chloroplasts and mitochondria. Its best characterised activity is the generation of mature 5'-ends of tRNAs by cleaving the 5'-leader elements of precursor-tRNAs. The record is from RNAcentral.